AAUCAACGCUGGCGGCGUGCCUAACACAUGCAAGUCGCACGAGAAAGGGCACCUUCGGGGGCCUGAGUAAAGUGGCGAACGGGUGAGUAACACGUGGGUGACCUGCCCUUUGGAGGGGGAUAACCCGGGGAAACCCGGGCUAAGACCGCAUAAGCCUUCGAGGUCAAACUCAAAGGGAAAAGGGUCUAGCUUUCGAGCUUGAUCCUGCCGAAGGAGGGGCCCGCGUCCCAUUAGCUAGUUGGUGGGGUAAAAGCCUACCAAGGCUACGAUGGGUAGCCGGUCUGAGAGGACGGACGGCCACACUGGAACUGAGACACGGUCCAGACUCCUNACGGGAGGCAGCAGUGGGGAAUUUUGGGCAAUGGGCGAAAGCCUGACCCAGCAACGCCGCGUGGAGGACGAAGGCCUUCGGGUCGUAAACUCCUGUCCUAGGGGAAGAAAAAAAUGACGGUACCCUUGGAGAAGCCCCGCUAACU
This 476-nucleotide ribosomal RNA is filed under the name uncultured bacterium. RNAcentral's name for it is "bacterial SSU rRNA". It matches the Rfam family "Bacterial small subunit ribosomal RNA", at positions 32 to 502 of the family's 1533-position model. The record is from RNAcentral.